GAGCUUAAAGGUUGAAUCAAUUGAGAAGCUUUCGGCCGCUACUUCCGAAAUUGGGGUGGCAGAUUUGUUGUGCUGAUGUUGCUGCUGAUAAUUGGGCUGCACUGAGGAAUUGAAGGACUGCCAUUGCACGGGUUGAAUUAGGCCUUUAUGCUUAAAAGAAGAGUUGAGCGUUGUUGAUCUGAUGAAAAAGAAAGAAACUUGGGCCGCUGAAAUUGAAACGCUGUUGUUGCUGGAAUUGGGCCAUUUAAUUGGAAUUUGGGUCAACGCUGAAAUGGUAGAAGCAAAGCACUUGGUUGUGAGCUGAAAGAGAAUUGGACCAUUGGGCUGAUUACCCUUUAGUGAAACGGUGCACUUUAGAUGCAGGUACUGUUUUGGGGGUCAGAGCUGAAGAUUUCAUUUGGCAGAAGAAAACUCCCUCGUGCUAAAAUUGAGCAAAGGAGAUAAAGAGGUCCUUAAAAGUUAGGGCUUCGUUCGAAGACGAGAGAAAAAAGAGAGCGCGAAGUGAGACGAGAGAGGAAGAAGAAGCUCGCGCCCCUGACCGGACCUUGACCGGAGUUGACCAGAAAAUAUGACAUGGAGAUGAUCAGAGGGCUUGGAAAGGAAGCAACUGCUGACCGUUCGAUGAAGAGAAGAUUAAAGCAUCACGAUCAUGUUUCCUCUUUUCCUUCUUUCUUUUUCUCUUUUCGGUUUCCACCCUAUAUAAAAGGGGGGCUUUUGUACUGUGAACAGACUUUUACGCUCUCGAGCAGACGCACUUUUCAGUUUACGCUACAAUUUUAGAUAGUUAGGCUUUUCAUUUUCCUUGCUUUUGGAGUGAAUCACUCACGGUGGUGAUAGCCCGUGGUGGCUCCAAUUGCGUGUUUUGUUCGGUACAUUCUUUUGUAAUUUUCAUUUUACCUUAAUAAAGUUUCUUUUACAGUGAUGUGUUACUA
RNAcentral lists this long non-coding RNA (932 nucleotides) under Vigna radiata. Its description in RNAcentral is "long non-coding RNA (VRAD_LNC010227)". Lineage: Eukaryota; Viridiplantae; Streptophyta; Magnoliopsida; Fabales; Fabaceae. The record is from RNAcentral.